GGAAGUAAAAGUCGUGACAAGGUUUCCGUAGGUGAACCUGCGGAAGGAUCAUUAAUGUGUUUGGGCCUCACGGCUCUUCAUUCCGACGCUGUGCGCCUUCGGGCUGCACGCUGAGGGAGCAUAUAUCCACCCCUGUGCACACACACGGUGGCGAGCUGGGUAACGGCUCGCCGCUGAUCUUUACACACGUCUAAAAGUCAUUGUAUGUUUAUUUGAGAUAAAAACACAACUUUCAGCAACGGAUCUCUUGGCUCUC
This 256-nucleotide unclassified non-coding RNA is filed under the name plant metagenome. RNAcentral describes it as "partial contains small subunit ribosomal RNA, internal transcribed spacer 1, and 5.8S ribosomal RNA". The stretch from base 1 to 54 matches the Rfam family "Eukaryotic small subunit ribosomal RNA", at positions 1778 to 1831 of the family's 1831-position model. The record is from RNAcentral.